RNAcentral lists this ribosomal RNA (253 nucleotides) under uncultured bacterium. Its description in RNAcentral is "partial 16S ribosomal RNA". It matches the Rfam family "Bacterial small subunit ribosomal RNA", at positions 524 to 776 of the family's 1533-position model. The record is from RNAcentral.
GACAGAGGGUGCAAACGUUGCUCGGAAUUACUGGGCGUAAAGCGCGUGUAGGUGGAUUGGUGUGUCAGAUGUGAAAUCCCUGGGCUCAACCCAGGAACUGCACCUGAAACUACCAGUCUUGAGUGGUGGAGAGGGAAGUGGAAUUCCUGGUGUAGAGGUGAAAUUCGUAGAGAUGUGGAGGAACACCGAUGGCGAAGGCAGCCCCCUGGGCUAACACUGACGCUCAUGCACGAAAGCGUGGGGAGCAAACAGG